RNAcentral lists this ribosomal RNA (413 nucleotides) under Ixodes tanuki. Its description in RNAcentral is "partial 16S ribosomal RNA". Lineage: Eukaryota; Metazoa; Arthropoda; Arachnida; Ixodida; Ixodidae. The record is from RNAcentral.
UAUUUUGACUAUACGAAGGUAUUGAAAUAAGGCUUUAAAUGGGUGCUAAGAGAAUGGUUGAACAAUUAUUAACUUUCUUUAAUUUAGAAAUUAAAUUUAAUUUUCUUGUGAAGAAGCAAGAAUGAUAAUUAGGGACAAGAAGACCCUAUGAAUUUUUUAUUUUAUUUUAUUUUUUUUCUAAAAAUAAAAUAAAAUUUGAUUGGGGCGAUGAAAAAAGAAUAUGUAUCUUUUAUUGAUUAAUUAUAAGUUGGUUCCGUUUUUUACGAUUAAAUGAGAAAAAUACUCUAGGGAUAACAGCGUAAUAAUUUUGGAUAGUUCAUAUAGAUAAAAUAGUUUGCGACCUCGAUGUUGGAUUAGGAUUCUUUUUCGGUGAAGAAGUUGAGAAAAAGAAGUUUGUUCAACUUUUAAAUUCC